GCAACCCUGGUGGCGAGUGGCGAACGGGUGAGUAAUAUAUCGGAACGUGCCCUAGAGUGGGGGAUAACGUAGCGAAAGUUACGCUAAUACCGCAUACGAUCUAUGGAUGAAAGCGGGGGAUCGCAAGACCUCGUGCUCCUGGAGCGGCCGAUAUCUGAUUAGCUAGUUGGUAGGGUAAAAGCCUACCAAGGCGACGAUCAGUAGCUGGUUUGAGAGAACGACCAGCCACACUGGGACUGAGACACGGCCCAGACUCCUACGGGAGGCAGCAGUGGGGAAUUUUGGACAAUGGGGGCAACCCUGAUCCAGCAAUGCCGCGUGUGUGAAGAAGGCCUUCGGGUUGUAAAGCACUUUUGUCCGGAACGAAACGCGCUGAGCUAAUACCUCGGCGUAAGACGGUACCGGAAGAAA
Molecule: ribosomal RNA, 411 nt
Filed under: uncultured bacterium
Lineage: Bacteria
Description: bacterial SSU rRNA
Rfam family: Bacterial small subunit ribosomal RNA
Source: RNAcentral